UGCAAGUCGAACGAGUUCUGAUUAUUGAAAGGUGCUUGCAUCUUGAUUUAAUUUUGAACGAGUGGCGGACGGGUGAGUAACACGUGGGUAACCUGCCCUUAAGUGGGGGAUAACAUUUGGAAACAGAUGCUAAUACCGCAUAAAUCCAAGAACCGCAUGGUUCUUGGCUGAAAGAUGGCGUAAGCUAUCGCUUUUGGAUGGACCCGCGGCGUAUUAGCUAGUUGGUGAGGUAACGGCUCACCAAGGCAAUGAUACGUAGCCGAACUGAGAGGUUGAUCGGCCACAUUGGGACUGAGACACGGCCCAAACUCCUACGGGAGGCAGCAGUAGGGAAUCUUCCACAAUGGACGCAAGUCUGAUGGAGCAACGCCGCGUGAGUGAAGAAGGCUUUCGGGUCGUAAAACUCUGUUGUUGGAGAAGAAUGGUCGGCAGAGUAACUGUUGUCGGCGUGACGGUAUCCAACCAGAAAGCCACGGCUAACUACGUGCCAGCAGCCGCGGUAAUACGUAGGUGGCAAGCGUUAUCCGGAUUUAUUGGGCGUAAAGCGAGCGCAGGCGGUUUUUUAAGUCUGAUGUGAAAGCCCUCGGCUUAACCGAGGAAGUGCAUCGGAAACUGGGAAACUUGAGUGCAGAAGAGGACAGUGGAACUCCAUGUGUAGCGGUGAAAUGCGUAGAUAUAUGGAAGAACACCAGUGGCGAAGGCGGCUGUCUGGUCUGUAACUGACGCUGAGGCUCGAAAGCAUGGGUAGCGAACAGGAUUAGAUACCCUGGUAGUCCAUGCCGUAAACGAUGAAUGCUAGGUGUUGGAGGGUUUCCGCCCUUCAGUGCCGCAGCUAACGCAUUAAGCAUUCCGCCUGGGGAGUACGACCGCAAGGUUGAAACUCAAAGGAAUUGACGGGGGCCCGCACAAGCGGUGGAGCAUGUGGUUUAAUUCGAAGCAACGCGAAGAACCUUACCAGGUCUUGACAUCUUUUGAUCACCUGAGAGAUCAGGUUUCCCCUUCGGGGGCAAAAUGACAGGUGGUGCAUGGUUGUCGUCAGCUCGUGUCGUGAGAUGUUGGGUUAAGUCCCGCAACGAGCGCAACCCUUAUGACUAGUUGCCAGCAUUUAGUUGGGCACUCUAGUAAGACUGCCGGUGACAAACCGGAGGAAGGUGGGGAUGACGUCAAAUCAUCAUGCCCCUUAUGACCUGGGCUACACACGUGCUACAAUGGAUGGUACAACGAGUUGCGAGACCGCGAGGUCAAGCUAAUCUCUUAAAGCCAUUCUCAGUUCGGACUGUAGGCUGCAACUCGCCUACACGAAGUCGGAAUCGCUAGUAAUCGCGGAUCAGCACGCCGCGGUGAAUACGUUCCCGGGCCUUGUACACACCGCCCGUCACACCGAUGAGAAGUUUGUAACCACCCGAAGCCGGUGGCGUAACCCUUUUAGGGAGCGAGCCGUCUAAGG
RNAcentral lists this ribosomal RNA (1447 nucleotides) under Lacticaseibacillus rhamnosus. RNAcentral describes it as "bacterial SSU rRNA". It matches the Rfam family "Bacterial small subunit ribosomal RNA". The record is from RNAcentral. Lineage: Bacteria; Bacillati; Bacillota; Bacilli; Lactobacillales; Lactobacillaceae.